This 106-nucleotide non-coding RNA is filed under the name Acidobacteriota bacterium. The record is from RNAcentral. Lineage: Bacteria; Pseudomonadati; Acidobacteriota.
GGAAGGCGGUGCAAAUCCGCCACGGUCCCGCCACUGUGAUCGGCUGCGCUUCCUGAACCACCGUCCCGACGCAUCGGGAUGGGAAGGGCCCGCAAGGGCAGGCAGC